Molecule: ribosomal RNA, 253 nt
Filed under: uncultured bacterium
Lineage: Bacteria
Description: partial 16S ribosomal RNA
Rfam family: Bacterial small subunit ribosomal RNA
Source: RNAcentral
UACAGAGGGGGCAAGCGUUGUUCGGAAUUACUGGGCGUAAAGGGCGCGUAGGCGGCCCGUUAAGUCGAACGUGAAAUCCCCGGGCUCAACCCGGGAACUGCGUCCGAUACUGGCAGGCUUGAAUCCGGGAGAGGGAUGCGGAAUUCCAGGUGUAGCGGUGAAAUGCGUAGAUAUCAGGAGGAAUACCUAUGGCGAAAGCAGGUAUCUGGGCCAUCACUGACGCUGAGCUGCGAAAGCUAGGGGAGCAAACAGG